GCUGCCAGGUAUUUGAGACUGAACAGCUCCAAGACAUGAAGUUUCUGCCAACAAUUUGGCACACCAUAAAAUAUUUAAAGAUGCCUUCAGGAUGUAGCAGGGGCAAGAACCAUAUAGAAAAGCAGAUGUAGCAGGGGCAAAAACCAUAUAGAAAAUCAGAGGUGUAUAGUGGGUAUGAAGCUGCCAGGAAUCUUGUUCAAAAGCAGAAUUCAAAAUCUCAAAAUAAAUAGAAUUUAUGUAUUGUUCAAUCUAUGUUAGAAGUCAGAGAUUUAAAGAGGUCCACGAGUGUAGAAAAUUUUAUUCUACCAUAUAGCAGACCUUCAAAAAUUUUGGUUGAUCAAAUGUGUCUGUCAAAACUGGUAAACAGACUGAUUUGUAAAUCUAAUAAAAGUAUAAAUAUUGUAUACAUUAUUAUUACUGUAAUACUGAGAAUAAAGAGUAGAGGAAAAAAGAGUAUUGUACUCACAAAAAAAGUACUAAGAGAACCAGAAAUGUUAAUCACCCAGGGAUGUCUUCUCAAUGGAGGAUAAAAAUCAAAUGGAAAGCUGAGAAUGAAGGUUGUCAAUGAUCUGGUGAUCUUUUGCUAUCUGUAGGGACAGCCCUCCUGCUAAUUCCCCAGAAUGAUUAUCCUAGAUUCUUCCCUCCCUAGACCAUUACUGAUCCUUAGGGGAGAUGUUAUUCUAUAACUUGCUGACCUUUAUGCUAUUGAACAAAGACCACACUAGAUUCCAGGCCUUUUAGCUAUAGAGCUCAUUCUCAAGGUCACAUGUACUUUGUAAAGAAAUUUCUAUGCAGUCAUACCUUAAGCUUUAUUGUUCACCUUGAUUAAACUGAGUGGACUGAUUGUUGCCUGGAAACCUUUUCCCAAAUUUAUUGUGGUUUAAAUAUGCUGACAAUGAACUUCCUGGCAUAAGACUCCCCAGAGCCUGAUCCAGGUUGGCAAAGUCAAACUGAACUGGGUUUCAGUCUCCUCUUUUCACAGCUCACUGCCUGCAUUGACAACUGUAGAAUUCAUCUCAAUAAGGAAAAUUAGAAUCUGCCUGUUCUGCAGCAUUGUCAGCAGUUCAUGAAGUCAGAUUCUCAGUGAAUACACAGCAGCUCUGGAAAGUUCUUCUCCAUACGUGAACACCAUUGCAGUCCCCAAAGUUUUUAGAAGUCUGAGUUCUUUCACUUGCUAGAAAGUAAUGACAGUGGUGACAUGUGGACAUUAAGUGAACAUGUGAACAUCAUUAAGUGGACCAAUUCAGCAACAUUUCACAUCCUUCCUAACUGAAAGCUUACUUUCUUUAUGGAGUGGUGGAGACUCACUAGUGCUACAAAUAGUACCUCUCCGGGAUCCUAGAAUAACUGACCUGCCAGGGGGGUUACAACCUCUAGACUAACUGACCUGCCAGGGUAGUCUACAGUGGUACCCGAACCAGCAACUCGGAGCACGGCUAACUAUGGGACGACGAUGCGCAGUCCCUUGACGACAACAAGAAGAAAAGAAAAGGUUCUGUGGCUGUAGGACUCGGACAGGUCUUCAGGACAAGAUGCUGACAAAAAUCUUGACACUACCUUGGCUAUGGGUCCUUCUAAUUUGGGCCCUCCAUAUCAGAGGAGCAACACCCCCGUAACAAUUUUUCAAUUUUACCUGGCAAGUCAUAAAUGAAGCAGGUGACAUCGCUAACUCCUCCUCCACUAUAGCCACAACUCCUGAUUGGGGCCCUUUAGAGGUAGAUCUCUACAAAUUGGUUCUGGGAGGCCAUUCAGAUUGGGGAGUGCACGAUAAGUUUCUCCCUUUAACACAGGCUCCAGAAAAUACAUACGAUUUCAAGAAGCAGCCUGGCUAUACCACUAGAUUUAGCAGGCACUUCCUCGCUUUCACACCAAUAUAUGUUUGCCCCGGAGCAUUCCACAGAGAUCGCUCCCUGGCCUCCAAAUGUGGAUUUAGUCCUGAUUAUUUCUGUGCCUCAUGGGGCUGUGAAACUACUGGGGAUACAUAUUGGAAUCUCUCUUCUUCCUGGGAUUAUAUUCAAGUUAAGAGAAAAGGCCCAAAGCAAAGCUUAGCUGCUCGAUGUGUGCCUAAUAGCUGGUGUAACCUCUUAGUAAUCUCCUUUACAGAAGCAGGAAAAAAAUUUGAUUGGGUCAGUUCUAGAGGAAUAGAAUGGGGGCUCAGUCUCCAUAAGAGCGGAAGAGACUUCGGGGUGACUUUUAAAAUAAAGUUACUAAAAACAGUCCCCCAAUCCACGGUUACCAUGGUAGGCCCAAUAAGGCAUUACAUUUUCUGAUCAGUAAGCAACUUAGUCGUCCUUCAACUCACAAACAAACCCCUACCAAUAGUUCCUCUGUAAUGGCCCCUCCCUUUCAACCCACCUUGCCCCAAGGACUUCCCUCUUUGGCUGAUCUUAUUCUAUCUAUGGUCAAUGCUUCUAUAGUUUCUUUACAUGCUAUUAAUAAUUCCCUAUAUAAGGAAUGCUGGGUUUGCUUUUCACCAAAGCCCCCCUUUUAUGAAGGUGUGGCUGCUUUUGGCUCCCCCAAUUUAACUAAUGAUACAAAGCACUUAAGGUGGCAUCCUGUUGAUGGUGAAGGUCUUACGAUAAGCCAGGUCUCUGGCAUAGGGCUAUGCCUUAGGGGACCAGCCUUGUGCUUCCCUCAACCAUUGCAGUAUACCUGCAAUCAGACAUUUAUUGUUAAUAUUUCUUUUUCUUAUAUUUCUGCACCUGAAGGAUUCUAUUUUGCCUGUGCCUUAG
Long non-coding RNA from Microtus ochrogaster (prairie vole), 2732 nucleotides. RefSeq lists it as uncharacterized. The record is from RefSeq and is a predicted model, not a curated record. NCBI's taxonomy places the organism in Eukaryota, Metazoa, Chordata, Mammalia, Rodentia, Cricetidae. The transcript has 4 exons.